GACAUUUUCCAUCAAUUUUUUACAAAGCCUGAGCAUUUGAAUAGUGCUUCACUGUUUACAGAGCAAUUUCCCUUUCUCACAACCAUCCUCAUUUUACAGGUGAAGGAUCUAAAACCUGAAAAGAGGCCAAAUGAUUCCUCAAAACCACGCAAGUACGAAGUAGCAGAGCGGAUCUCAAAUCCAGAGCACUGCGUGUUUUGAAAUAUACAAAUAGUGGGAAACGAAAUCUUUGUUCUGGAUGCAGUUAUAAUUUGGAAAGCGAGGAAAUAAAUUAUAACAAGGGGAAAAAACAGCACUCCACGAAGAGGCCUUGGCUAGCUGCACAUCUCCCUACAUGGGUAUGUCAAGAUCACCAACUCUGCUUACAGCAGUUCCCAGAUGAAACUCUUCAUAAUUUCAGAUGCACCUUUAAUACCAGUGAAGGUUUACCUCCAGGCCCACAGUCUGGGUCUUUCCAGAGACACCCACAGCAAGAUGUCACCUGCUUUUUGAUGUCAUCAGAGUCAAACACAAACACCCACCACUGUGGUUUCCAUGUCUAAUUCGCAAAUGGCUUUAACUUUGAGCUGGCCCACAAUGUUGUAUUAACCCCACUCAGGUAUCAUCUUUCUCCGUGGGUGAACCCAUAGUGACCUUUCCUUCUGAUUCUUCUUUUACUCUAAGGGCAUGAUUUUGGCAAACUGUCUAUAUGUACACUGGAAACAACUUCAACUUGCUUUUAUGUUGAUUUCACUUCUCCACUUUCAAUGCAGAAAGCUAAUCAGCAAUGCCCUAGGUUACUAAGAGAGGACAAUUCUUUCUUAGCCCAUUGAAUUAUGAGCAUUUUCUUGGAAAUGCAGCAAAAUGUGUUCUGACAGAUGCCUUUGGGUCCCUUGGGUUCUUUGCUAAGACAGCUAUAGAGAGAGGGCUCAAUAAGGUGGGGCCUGUGAUGGGACAUUGUUUUUACUGCACUGGUGAUAGAACAAAAGUCAGACAGGGCACAACACACACUGAUACAACCAAUCACCCAGUCACACUGCAGCCUUAGGAAACCCAUGAGCUUGUGGCAGCAGGCAAACUUGCUUCAGAGUUCCAAGAAUCCAAAUGUUCCUGGUGUGUCUGUUGUCUUGCGAUAUAGACUGAGAUCACAGGAUUGAAGAUACGACCAGAGUCAUGCUGUUGAAAGAGACUGGCUGAGUAGUGAUGAAAAAUAAACUUGGUCAAUC
RNAcentral lists this long non-coding RNA (1205 nucleotides) under Homo sapiens (human). RNAcentral describes it as "long intergenic non-protein coding RNA 964". Lineage: Eukaryota; Metazoa; Chordata; Mammalia; Primates; Hominidae. The record is from RNAcentral.